Bradysia coprophila is the source of this 690-nucleotide long non-coding RNA. NCBI's taxonomy places the organism in Eukaryota, Metazoa, Arthropoda, Insecta, Diptera, Sciaridae. The record is from RefSeq and is a predicted model, not a curated record.
UCGACCUCCAGGUAAAACUCUGUUUGCGAAAAAAUUGGCCGAACAUUCUGGAUCAUGCCAUAAUGACCGGUGCUUUCGUCGGCGUUAAUAUCUACAAGGGCAGCGAUAAGUUCUACGACAACUUGCUUAUGCCAUUUAUUCACCUAUUCGAUCCACAAUCAUGCCACCGACUGGCUGUGUUCGCGUGUAAAUAUCGUUUGUUCCCCAGAUAGAAACAGAGUGAUCCUAAUUCGUUGUCGGUCAAAUUCUUCGGUCAUGUCUUGAGCAAUCCGUUAGGAGUAGCUGCUGGAUGAGAUAAGCAUGCCGAAGCGGUCGUUGGACUGAAUGACAUCGGAUUUGGAUUCGUUGAAAUUGGAUCGGUUACCCCUUGCCCAAGAUGGAAACCCAAAACCGAGGGUGUUUCGUCUAAGUGAAGACAAAGCAAUAAUCAACAGAUACGGUUUUAACAGCGUCGGUCGAAGAGGCAAUUCAGGCAAUUCGUAAAAGUUCAGAAGGAAAAAAUCAGUCGCUUCCUAAAAGUCAAUCAAUUGCCAAGUGCGUAUCGAAGGCAAGGCGGUAAAAGUUCCAACAUCAGAUUCGGAAGAGUAUUUCCAUCAACGGCCACGAGACAGUCAAAUCGGUGCUCUGGCUAGUCCACAAAGUCAAACGAUUCCGGGUCGAGACUACUUGGAUCAAAUCGAAGCAGAAAUU